RNAcentral lists this non-coding RNA (28 nucleotides) under Mus musculus (house mouse). Lineage: Eukaryota; Metazoa; Chordata; Mammalia; Rodentia; Muridae. The record is from RNAcentral.
UGAGUGUUGCUUGUCCAUUAAAAAGUGU